Molecule: transfer RNA, 74 nt
Filed under: Nanobdellota archaeon
Lineage: Archaea; Nanobdellati; Nanobdellota
Description: tRNA-Gly
Rfam family: tRNA
About the family: Transfer RNA (tRNA) molecules are approximately 80 nucleotides in length. Their secondary structure includes four short double-helical elements and three loops (D, anti-codon, and T loops). Further hydrogen bonds mediate the characteristic L-shaped molecular structure. tRNAs have two regions of fundamental functional importance: the anti-codon, which is responsible for specific mRNA codon recognition, and the 3' end, to which the tRNAs corresponding amino acid is attached (by aminoacyl-tRNA synthetases). tRNAs cope with the degeneracy of the genetic code in two manners: having more than one tRNA (with a specific anti-codon) for a particular amino acid; and 'wobble' base-pairing, i.e. permitting non-standard base-pairing at the 3rd anti-codon position.
Source: RNAcentral
GCGCGGGUAGUUCAGCUUGGUUAGAAUCUGGGAUUGCCAAUUCUAGGACGCGGGUUCAAAUCCCGCUUCGCGCA